CAGCUGACGAGUCCCAAAUAGGACGAAACGCGCGUCCUGGAU
RNAcentral lists this non-coding RNA (42 nucleotides) under Schistosoma curassoni. Lineage: Eukaryota; Metazoa; Platyhelminthes; Trematoda; Strigeidida; Schistosomatidae. The record is from RNAcentral.